AGUGAACGCUGGCGGUAGGCCUAACACAUGCAAGUCGAACGGCAGCACAGUAAGAGCUUGCUCUUACGGGUGGCGAGUGGCGGACGGGUGAGGAAUACAUCGGAAUCUACUUUUUCGUGGGGGAUAACGUAGGGAAACUUACGCUAAUACCGCAUACGACCUACGGGUGAAAGCAGGGGAUCUUCGGACCUUGCGCGAUUGAAUGAGCCGAUGUCGGAUUAGCUAGUUGGCGGGGUAAAGGCCCACCAAGGCGACGAUCCGUAGCUGGUCUGAGAGGAUGAACAGCCACACUGGAACUGAGACACGGUCCAGACUCCUAAGGGAAGCAGCAGUGGGGAAUAUUGGACAAUGGGCGCAAGCCUGAUCCAGCCAUACCGCGUGGGUGAAGAAGGCCUUCGGGUUGUAAAGCCCUUUUGUUGGGAAAGAAAAGCAGCAGGUUAAUACCCCGCUGUUCUGACGGUACCCAAAGAAUAAGCACCGGCUAACUUCGUG
This 492-nucleotide ribosomal RNA is filed under the name uncultured bacterium. RNAcentral describes it as "partial 16S ribosomal RNA". It matches the Rfam family "Bacterial small subunit ribosomal RNA", at positions 29 to 507 of the family's 1533-position model. The record is from RNAcentral.